GAGGGAGUCCUGGACUAGGGGGUGUCCGGACAGCCGGAUUAUCAAUAUCCGCCGGACUCCCAGACUACGAAGAUAGAAGAUUGAAGACUCCGGCUCAUGUCCGGAAGGUACUUUACUUGGCGUGGAAGGCAAGCUUGGCAAUACGGAUAUGUAGAUCUCCUACCAUCGUAACUGACUCUGUGUAACCCUAGCCUCUCCGGUGUAUAUAUAAAUCGGAGGGCCUUAGUCCGUAGGACGCAACAUUACAUCUCAACAAUCAUACCAUAGGCUAGCUUCUAGGGUUUAGCCUCAUUGAUCUCGUGGUAGAUCUACUCUUGUACUACCCAUAUCAUCAAUAUUAAUCAAGCAGGACAUAGGGUAUUACCUCCAUCGAGAGGGCCUGAACCUGGGUAAAAACAUUGUGUCCCUCGUCUCAUGUUACCAUCCGCCUAGACGCACAGUUCGGGGCCCCCUACCCGAGAUCCGCCGGUUUUGACACCGACAUUGGUGCUUUCAUUGAGAGUUCCUCUGUGUCGUCGCCGAUAGAGACCGGAGGGGCCUUGGCCGCCGGUCAGACAAUCCGGCUCGGCGGUUUCCUUAUGACCGCCUGUCCGGCCGUCGCUUCGGCAAUGACUUCUCAAGUCGUCGAAAGCAAUCUUCGAGUCAGCCCUAAAGAUGCCGAACAGUUAGAUCCAAUCGAGCUCUCGUCUGUUAACGAGCUCUUGGAUCGCAUCGCCGCCCUGGGAGUCACAACGGACUACGAUCAGAUCGGGCUUAAAACCGAUCUGAGAGAGAUUAACUCUCCCCAGGCCACCCACCACGUCGAAGUGGUAGAAGAACAACUCGGCAAUUCGUUGCCAUUGUUGAAAACAAUCUGUGUCCGGAUUCCCGAACCCUCCAUGCCGGAUUCCCGCGGAGGGACGGACCCUGAUCGAGCAUUGAACCUAAAAUCAUGCGUCGCCCCGGAGUCGCUGGUCUAUUUCCAGCAAAUCAAGCUUCCAAGUUCGGAAGACCCUUGGCCUUUGAGCCCAAAGAUGGGCAGGGAUCCGGAUUUUAUUCCACCCACCCGCCCAGACAUAUGAGACCUAUCUCUAAUUCGGCAAGAGCCCUCAGAAACAGUACAUCAUUACUGGGCCAGAUUUCUCCUGGUUAUGGGCAGGAUAAAGGACUGCCGAGAGGAAAACGCAAUCUCAAUCUUCUGCAAUAACUGCACGAACAGGGGAAUCCUGAACGCCAUUGAUCGUCGCAAGACUACGCGUUUUACCGAUCUGGCAUCCAUAGUACGAAAGUACUGUGCGAUGGAAAGUUUCCGGAAAACUAAAAAUCAAUUUUGGGAUAGUCCGGCACCAAACCCAGUCCGCGGUAAGAGGGUGCCACACAAUCAGGCCCCAAAUGCAAAAACCAAAAAGCAAAAACCCAGCAAGAGAAACGGAACCGUACUGGAGGGAUGGCUCAAUGGACCCUGUAAACUUCAUAAUACGGGGGGAGCUGUCCCAACACAUAGCCUUCGAGCAUGUUGGAUACUACGGCAGGUGGCCAAAAGUGGCGAAGAGCUUCUAGCUCCGGGAAAUCACUCCAACAAUACCAGCACGGUAUCAACAGUCUUCGAGACUUUCGCAUCAAAUAAUAGGCGAAAACGAACAAUCCGCGAACUCGUCGAAGUCUACCAAGUAGCAACAGCAAAUCCAUGGAGCGACACAGCUAUCACCUUCAGCGCCAGCGACGAGCCCACAUCUCGAACUACCAGAGCCCCAGCCGCACUGGUACUUAGUCCCAUAGUGGACGGCUUUCGACUGACAAAAUUCCUCAUGGACGGCGGCAGCGGACUAAACCUCAUUUAUGAGGAAACCCUGCCGAAAAUGGAAAUCGAUUGGAGCCGUAUUGAGCGAAGCAGCACAACCUUCAGAGGAAUAAUCCCUAGCCGGGAAGCACGCUGCACCGGAAAAAUCACACUCGAUGUGGUGUUCGGCUCUCCGGACAAUUACAGAUCCGAAGAAGUUACGUUCCAGGUGGCCCCGUUCAGCAGCGGAUAUCACGCCAUAUUAGGACGAGAGGCAUUCACAAUUUUUCAAGCAAUACCCCAUUACGGGUACAUGAAGCUCAAAAUGCCUGGGCCCAGCGGAAUAAUCACUCUCGUUAGUGAUACGGACACAGCACUCCGCGCCGAAAAUAAGACAGCCGCACUAGCUCUCGAAGCACUAUCCGAAGCCUUAGCGGCAGAGGAACUAACCACGCUGCGCUCUACAGUAAACAGGGACGAUGUGAUACUUGAUAAAAGAUCCAAGUCCACCUCCUUCAAACCAGCAGAUGAGAUAGUUAAAUUUCAAGUCCACCCAACGGACCCAACAAAGACGGCCUCCAUCGGGGCACAGUUGAACCCCGAAGUUGACGCCGCACUACGCGAUUUCCUUCGGGAAAAUUGGGACAUCUUCGCCUGGCACCCUUCAGACAUGCCCGGCAUCCCUCGCAGGUUGGCAGAGCACAGCCUAAACAUCCUAAAAGGAUUCAAACCAGUCAAACAGGCUCUUCGACGAUUUUUCGAGCCCAAAAGACAGGCAAUGGGAGAAGAGCUAGCCAAGUUAUUGGAAGCCGGAUUCAUCAGAGAUAUCAAACAUCCGGACUGGCUAGCAAAUUUGGUGAUGGUACCAAAGAAGGAUAAAUCCUGGCGCCUCUGCGUCGACUUCAAAGACCUCAAUAAGGCUUGCCCAAAGGAUCCUUUCCCCCUCCCCCGCAUCGAUCAAACUAUCGAUGCCACAGCAGGACACGAUUCAUUGUGCUUCCUGGAUGCAUACUCCGGCUAUCAUCAAAUCAAGAUGGCGGAAGCAGAUCAAGCCGCAACGGCAUUCAUCACUCCAUACGGACCAUUAUGCUUCAACACGAUGCCCUUCGGACUUCAAAACACCGGCGCAACAUAUCAGCGCAUGAUUCAAACAUGUCUGGCCACCUAGAUCGGCAAAACAGUCGAGGCAUAUGUAGACGACGUAGUCGUCAAAACAAAACACGUCGAAAUUUUAGUAGACGAUUUGAGGCUCACAUUCGACAACCUCAGAGCAUAUGACAUUAAGCUGAAUCCGGAAAAAUGUGUUUUCGGCCUACCAGCCGGGAAACUGCUGGGCUUCAUCGUAUCCGGUAGAGGGAUCGAAGCAAAUCCGGCCAAAAUCCGGGCUCUGUCACAGUUGGUAAUCCCAAAGGACCUCAAGCAAAUACAGAAAUUAACAGGAUGCGUGGCAGCCUUAAGCCGUUUUAUCUCCCGUUUAGGAGAAAAGGCGUUGCCCCUUUAUCGCCUCCUAAGGCGCACCGAACACUUCGAGUGGACGGAUGCCGCCACUGCCGGACUCGGAGAAAUAAAGGCCAUAUUGGCAACAAAUCCGGUCCUGGCUGCGCCCACUCAGGGCGAACGGAUGUUGUUAUACAUCGCGGCAACACACCAAGUUGUGAGCGCUGUCCUCGUCGUCGAACGAGCAACAGAAGGGCACAAAUCCCCUCUUCAAAAACCAGUGUAUUAUGUAUCCACUGUGCUAACCCCUUGCAAAUCCCGUUACCCGCACUAUCAAAAGAUAGCAUAUGCGGUGUUCAUGGCGUCUCAGAAGCUUCGGCACUACUUUCAAGAGUGUUCGAUAACAGUGGCUUCUGAAGUACCGCUCAAUGACAUUAUAAAUAACCGCGACGCAACGGGCAGGAUUGCAAAAUGGGACAUUGAGCUCUUGCCAUUCGACAUAACUUACAAACCUCGACGAGCCAUAAAGUCACAAGUUUUGGCUGACUUUGUCGCCGAAUGGACUGAAGCCGAACUACCUAAAGAGUACGGCGCAUACUCCAAUUGGACUAUGCACUUCGACGGCUCCAAAAUGUUGGCCGGACUGGGGGCUGGCGUCGUACUGACGUCCCCCACCGGAGAUACAGUUCAGUAUGUACUUCAGAUAAUGUACACGGACUCCAACAACGCAGCCGAAUACGAGGCCUUGUUACAUGGUCUCCGGAUGGCAGUCUCCAUGGGCAUUCAACGCCUAGAGGUGCGCGGGGAUUCAAACCUUGCAAUAUCCCAAAUAAAUGGAGACUUUGACGCCAAGGAUCCGAAAAUGGCAGCAUAUCGUAAUGCUAUCCUGAAAAUGUCAGCUCGGUUUGAAGGACUCGAAUUCCAUCACAUAGCCCGAGAUAACAACCAAGUGGCCGACAUCCUGGCACGCAUCGGUGCGAAACGUGAGGUUGUCCCUCCAAAUAUCUUCCUGGAACAGCUCUUCAAGCCAUCCGUACUAUGGGAAGAGGAGUCCGGUUGUGACAAACCGGAGAAAGCCGCACCAACUGGUGAUUCAGCAGACAACGUAACACAAUCCGCCCACGACAUAAUGGCGGUAAUCUCCGCAUGGACAGAACCUUUCCUGGCCUACUUACUUAGGCAGGAACUUCCCGAAGACCAAAAUGAGGCCCGCUGCAUAGUCCGGCGAUCUAAGGCCUACAAGGUUCACGAAGGAGAACUUUAUAAGAAAAGUACUACCGGAGUCCUUCAAAGGUGUAUCUCCGAAGAAGAAGGGCGAAACCUCCUGGCUGAAAUCCAUGCCGGAUUAGGUGGACACCACGCAGCAGCCCGGGCCCUGGUUGGAAAGGCAUUCCGUACAGGAUUUUAUUGGCUGACGGCACGGGCAGAUGCAUAGGACUUGGUCCAGCGAUGCGUUGGUUGCCAGCUCUUCGCUAAUCAGAGCCAUAUGCCACCCACCGCCCUCAAAACCAUACCCAUUACCUGGCCGUUCGCGGUCUGGGGGCUUGACAUGGUGGGACCCCUUAAAGGGGGAACCCAUAAGAAAAGGUACCUGUUGGUCAUGGUGGAUAAGUUCACCAAAUGGAUAGAGGCCAAACCGGUCAAAACGGCAGAGUCCGGACCAGUGAUAGACUUUAUAUCAGAGGUGGUACACCGUUACGGAGUCCCCCACAACAUCAUCACGGAUAAUGGCACGAACUUCACAGCCGAUGAAGUGAAGUCAUGGUGCAAAAACAUGGGCAUUAAGCUCGACUAUGCGUCAGUCUAUCACCCUCAAACCAACGGUCAAGUGGAAAGAGCAAACGGUCUAAUAAUGAGCGGCAUUAAACCCAGACUAGUGAGGUCACUCACUAAAUCAGACACCCAAUGGGUCGAGGAGCUCGACUCCGUACUCUGGGGGCUGCGGACGACACCUAACUGUACUACCGGAUUCACACCAUUUUUUAUGGUAUACGGCGCAGAGGCAGUUCUGCCCUGCGACAUUAUUCAUGACUCACCUCGAGUGCGCAUGUAUGAGGAAAGAGAAGCCGAGCUAGAUCGGCAGGACAGCUUGGACACAUUGGAGGAAGAACGGGACGUUGCGAAGGCUCGUUCCGCAUUCUAUCAGCAGCAGGCCCGAAGAUAUCAAAGCAGAGAAGUACGGGCCAAAACCUACAACGUUGGCGAACUAGUUCUACGCCUGCCGGACAAGAAGCAGGACAAGCUCAAGCCCAGAUGGGAAGGCCCCUUCAUUAUUGAUCAGGUACUGACCGGUGGAGCGUACCGUCUACGAAAUGCGUCGGACAACCGACUCGAGCCGAACCCAUGGAACGCAGCCCGACUCCGACGAUUCUAUGCCUAGCGCCGGACUAAGAGUUCGUCCCCUUCCCCCGUCCAACUUUAUAUAUAUUUCGGUUGUCCUCUUUUUCUCUUUUUCUCCUUUUUAAAAUUAACAAAUCCCUUCGGGGCCUAUUUUCGCAUUUCUUGCAUACAUACGAUGUGCCACUCGCACUCGUUAUUCCUGGGGGCUUCUUUUACAGAAGAUCAACUAUAUGGGUUUUAUACCCAACACAUGUGUCAUGCUUCCACAUGUACCUUUUACUCGCCAUUAUAUGCAUCGAUAUGACUUAAGUUUUGGCCAAGCUGGGUUGUCUGGCUCCUGUGCUUACCCCUACGUUCCCGAUUGUUCGGCUAGGUGGUAAAGGGAGCACCUCUGCGAUUGUUACUGCCGGGUCAGCCGGAUGUGUACCUCAGACUGGGUGAAGCCGAAAGCUAGCGUUCUUAAGGGAAUAUUCGGUCGGUGAUUUAAAAGAUGACUUUUUACCUACUUUUUCCAUCUGCCCCUAGAUGUUUUACUGCUUCAUUGGCAGUCCGUACAUGCACUUUAGGGCAUGCCACCCCAGCGAAAGGAACCCUUAACGGAACUAUUCUCCCUGGAAGAUGUUUCUUACUAACCAUGUAAUAUAACAUAACUAGUUGGGCACUUGCCUGAUAAAGCACUAAUGACCCCUACGCCUAGUCUCCAUGCAUACCACGGUUAUCUAUUAACCAAAAAGGUAUUCGGACACACUCCGGACCCUAGGGUCCCGAGGUCGAAGCGAAAAGGUCGGCAACGGCAAACGAUCUACAAUCCGGCGAGAAGGCAUUUCACAUGUCAUUUUUAAAGGAUAUCAUACAUUGUCAAGUUUAUUGAUUGUAUUCCUCCUCAAUCCCGUCUAACAGGCUGUCUAGCUUAUAGUCCCGUUGGGAAAAUUUAGCAGCCAGUUCUACCUGGCUGUACACUAAACUCACAGGGAUCUCCUUCCCGUCGGGCCCCACCGGUCCAACUUCGGCCAUAUGGUUGGGAUCCGCCUUCUUGUACCGCGUCUUCACCAUGGCCCAAGCCUCCCUGGCACCUUGACGGCAGGCCGAAACCUUCCACAAACGGAAGCGCUGCCGCACUCCCUGUAGCUUCUCUGCAAGCUCCCCGAGGCCCUCGGGCGGGGUAAGGGAUGGCCAUAAAGCCUGUACGGCGCCACUCAUUGCCUGCCGAACUCGUUCGAAUAGCUGCAACAGUUCGGGAAGGGGAUCACCCAUCGAUACGGGCAUCUCCUCCGCAGGAUGGCCCGUGAGUAUACCUACAAGACAUGUUAUGUCAAAUCACUUCCUCGCCGAACUCUUCUUCCAUAGAGAGUUCGCUCAAGCACUUACUAUAGAUGCCGCGAUGAAGUCGUUGAUUCUCCUUGACGGAGCCGGACAGCUCGGCCUGUGCGCCUUUAAGCUCUUCCCCGAGCUUGGCGUUGGCAUCUUGGAUUUUGUUCCUUUCCUGCUGAACUCUAUUCAGCACGUUCUCGCCGGCCUUUAGCUGGCGCAGCAGCGCUUGCCUGUCCGGAUCUUGUUCGGCGGCACCUGCAGGGUCUUUAUUAGACUCGCGCGAAUAAUACACAGCGCUUAUAUUCAUUUAUACAAAUAUGUUACUAGGAGGGGUCUUUCCGUCUCCUCCUGCGGCACCAAGUGCGGCCUCAAGUUGGGCCUUGCAAUCUUGCAGCUCUCGGGACAGUUGGGCGUUCUUCUCGUUAAGAGCCUGAAAGUUUACAUGAUCCUUAAAUCAAUUAACAUAACUAAUUUAAGUCGCGGGGGCUACUGGUGUGUGCAACCACUAAAAAUCUCUUACCCGUAUGUCUUUAACAUACUGCUCCGUGGCUCUGGUAAAACCAUUUUGGGCAGCCCAGAGAUGCGCGUCCCCUGCGUUGAAGGCAUCCAAUGCCUCAGGGGAAAAGCAUGCCUCUUGAAAAAUUGUCCGGCGGCGUCUAUGAUUCAUAGCGCUUUCCACCUCUGAUUUUGUGGCGGACAGUCUGUCGGUAUCCUCCGUUGGAGUAGGAUCCGGUUCGCGUCUUGCGCUUGCCGCCCCCUCCAGUCCGGGCGCAGGAGCCCGGCUGGUAUCAGUGGGAUUGGCAAUUCCUGUGCUCGCAGUCCGGCGAGCGCUUUUCCUUCUACAAAGAUCAUGAGCACUUAGAAAGUUUCCUCGGAACGUUGCUCAGAAAGAUCAAACACGAGCUAUACCUCUGCGGCGAUGUUUCCGCCCGCACGGCGCUCCUUUUCCUCCUGCUGGUUCGGCCUGACCUCUGUAGGUCGGCCGCCGAAGGCUCGGCUCCCGGCCGGACUGGCACUUCCUGCAAUACACCAUCGUUCGCGAAAGUCAGAAAUAUGCAAGGAUAAGAUAACGGUGUCCGGACUUCGAUCUUGGUCACCUGGGAUGCCGAACUUAGCCCGGGGUAGUCCGCCAUAAUGGCGACCAACGCAUCAUCAACGCUCAGCUGGUGAUACACCCCGUCGAUUAGCUCCACCCUGAGGUCCGGAUCCUCUUCGGAGGCUGGACCCAGGGAUCCUUCCGGGUCCUCGGGUUGUGGAGCCGGACUCACCAUGUCCUCCACAGUCCGGCGUAGACUCUGCGCCGAAGACGUAAUAUAAGAAGCUUAAACUUCGAAAAUGCGGGUAAAGGCCCUUUUGAGGUGUUCGCUUACCCAUCCUCUGGGAUUGACCAUAGAAAACCCAUUCACAGGGUUCGGACGAAGGAAGUCCUCCUUCUCCCCCUUGAAAAGGCCAGACAGGAUCUUCACCAGAUCCUCGGUCGAAUCCGGGCCUUUGCGGCCGUGCCGGGUGGCAUCGUCCUCCGUGUUGAAAUCCCACAUGGGGUGGCCUCUGUAUUGAAGCGGCUGCACCCCCCGCUUGAUGCACGUUGCCAUGAUUCCAAUCAUGGUCAAGCCAGAAUGAGCCAUUAGUCUUAUUCGGCCCAUCAAGUAAUGGACGCUCUUGUCCUCCUCCAAACGGGGGCUCCGCGGGCGCCAGCUGAGGCGUUUCUUCAAGGGAGCAGCAUCAAACUCCGGGAGGCCAAUCCGGACUGGGUCUGGCAGCGGAGCGUCUAUGAUAUAAAACCACUCCGAGGGCCAGUCUUCGGACGCCCUCUUGGGGGUGCCGGAUAGGUAUCCGGUUCCGGCAGUGCGCCAUAUUUCGGCGCCGCCCACUUGAUAUAUGGACCCCUAGUGAGAACGGGGUACGAGGCAGAAUAGCCUCUUCCACAAUGCGAAAUGGGGCUCGAUGCCCAGGAAUAGCUCGCAAAGAGCUACGUAGCCCGCGAUGUGCAACACGGACGCGGGCGUGAGGUGAUGGAGCUGAAGUCCAUAGAACUUCAGGAGCCCGCGGAGGAACGGAUGUAUUGGAAACCCGAGCCCCCUUAUUAGAUAAGGGACGAAACACACCCGCUCCCCCCUGUUGGGGCUUGCGGUGUCCUCCGCCUGGCUCCCUCCUCGAUAAGUAACCAGUCCGGCUCGGACCGGAACCAUGAAGGCCGGAGGAAGCCAUCCCUCCGCUUGGAGCUUUACUAGCUCGUUGUGCGAAAUAGAGCACCUCCUCCAAUCCCCCGGCGAUGGGCUGGGAGCGCGUGAGGAAGAGCCGCGUUGACGAUCCAUGGUGGAAUGGAUUUCAGGGUCAGAGGCGCUUCGAUGGAGUAUACGCGGGAGGAGGAUGGUGCGGUUUGGAUCUGGAUCCCUGCCCCUUUAAUAGGCAGGCGACCCGCACGACCAGGGGGUAAAAUGUAAAAGAUUCCCUGGCUUUUCGCAUUCAUGCGACGUGUGGAAGAGGGCCAUAAUUUGGCGUAGAAGCCAAGAAGCACAGUAUUCGAGGUACAGCCAGACACUGUUCGGCAGGAACAUGGAAUUCGAAGGGAGAACCCGCCUUGCAACGCCGAAGACUACAAGCACGCCGGACUUAUCGUCAUUGAAGCCUGGUUCGGGGGCUACUGAGGGAGUCCUGGACUAGGGGGUGUCCGGACAGCCGGAUUAUCAAUAUCCGCCGGACUCCCAGACUACGAAGAUAGAAGAUUGAAGACUCCGGCUCGUGUCCGGAAGGUACUUUACUUGGCGUGGAAGGCAAGCUUGGCAAUACGGAUAUGUAGAUCUCCUACCAUUGUAACCGACUCUGUGUAACCCUAGCCUCUCCGGUGUCUAUAUAAACCGGAGGGCCUUAGUCCGUAGGACACAACAUUACAUCUCAACAAUCAUACCAUAGGCUAGCUUCUAGGGUUUAGCCUCAUUGAUCUCGUGGUAGAUCUACUCUUGUACUACCCAUAUCAUCAAUAUUAAUCAAGCAGGACGUAGGGUAUUACCUCCAUCGAGAGGGCCUGAACCUGGGUAAAAACAUUGUGUCCCUCGUCUCCUGUUACCAUCCGCCUAGACGCACAGUUCGGGGCCCCCUACCCGAGAUCCGCCGGUUUUGACACCGAC
RNAcentral lists this long non-coding RNA (9975 nucleotides) under Triticum aestivum (bread wheat). Its description in RNAcentral is "long non-coding RNA (TAES_LNC017063)". Lineage: Eukaryota; Viridiplantae; Streptophyta; Magnoliopsida; Poales; Poaceae. The record is from RNAcentral.